Molecule: ribosomal RNA, 483 nt
Filed under: uncultured bacterium
Lineage: Bacteria
Description: bacterial SSU rRNA
Rfam family: Bacterial small subunit ribosomal RNA
Source: RNAcentral
AGAGUUUGAUCAUGGCGUCAGGAUGAACGCCCGGCGGCGUGCCUAAUACAUGCAAGUCGAGCGGAGAAUUUAGCAAUAGAUUCUUAGCGGCGAACGGGUGAGUAACGCGUUGGUGACCUGCCUCGAAGUUUGGGAUAACAGUUCGAAAGGACUGCUAAUACCGGAUGUGAUCGCGGAGAUUAGAGGCUCUGUGAUUAAAGGAGAAAUUCGCUUCGAGAGGGGCCUGCGUCCCAUCAGCUAGUUGGUAAGGUAAAGGCUUACCAAGGCGAUGACGGGUAGGGGACCUGAGAGGGUGGCCCCCCACAAUGGAACUGAAACACGGUCCAUACACCUACGGGUGGCAGCAGUAGGGAAUAUUGCAUAAUGGGCGAAAGCCUGAUGCAGCAACGCCGCGUGUGCGAUGAAGGCCUUCGGGUCGUAAAGCACUUUUGGAGGGGAUGAGGAAGGACAGUACCCUUCGAAUAAGCUUCGGCUAACUACGUG